CGUAGUGAAUUGCAUCGUUUUUGAGUGUCAUAAAUCGCGCGCAAUUAUUACGUUUUGUAAAUUGUAGGUGAAUUUGUUAGAGUAAUGAUUGUUACGUAGCAUGAUUAUUUGCGAAACAUGGUGAAGAACAAAAAUUUCGUAAUAGAACUCGGUAUUUGUUCGUCGUAAUUUAAAUCUACGGUUUCCAAUAACAAGCGAACAAAGCAAAGAGAAGAGCAAGGUUAUACGAACGUCUCUUUUCUUUAUCAAUUGGUACUAGAUUUCCCUAGGAUAUUCGCAGAAGAAGUCGGAGGCUGGAGAUUGUCGUAGCAUCGGGGAUGACUGGUCGAACCUCCUGGCAUUUUAUCUGGUACAAUAUCGCUCAUCCUGACCCCAAGGACAAUCCAUCUCUCCGUUGCAGAUAUGGUUAGCCGACAUGCACCUUCUUUCCCCGCAAUGCAAAGCAGACUUGGAUAUGGUGUUCAUCGCCAGGAUGGGUUUCUUCAUGAUCUUUGUGCUGUUGACGGAGGAAGACGAAGAGGAAGAGGAGGCUGCACACUCGCCGCAUUCAGUCUCGUCGCUGUGAUCCGCACAAUCCAAGUAGCCGUCGCAUCGCCAGUCAACCGGAAUGCAUCUGGUCCCAUCGCAUUGGAACCCACUGGUGCAUACUGUGCAACGCGUGCAUCAAGAAAUGGCUAACAGUACAGUUCUUUUCUAUGUACUACGUACACUCGCGUUUCUCCUUCGUUUCUGUAUUUUAUUUCCAAUUUUUUUCAUCUUGUUUUUUACGUUUUCCCCUGUUCAGAGUUUUCGAUGGUCUCGUAAUGGAAGAGGAACAGAUGAAACGUGAAAAUGUAAAAAAAUUGAAAGAAUAGAGGAUCAGAGAAUGCAUGAUAAAUGGCUGUGAUUGUCUUCGGGUUGGGGAUUUGCUCAUUGUGAAGCCGAGGUAUUACGGGACGGUAUAGUUAUCCACUUUUUUUAUGUCUUUGUAUUGAGAUAAUUAAUGCAGGAUCGAUAAUGUUAAUCGUCAAUGAGAUUUCUAAGUACAAAUCUUCCCUUUCGAGCGAA
Bombus terrestris (buff-tailed bumblebee) is the source of this 1047-nucleotide long non-coding RNA. RefSeq lists it as uncharacterized. The transcript is spliced from 3 exons. The record is from RefSeq and is a predicted model, not a curated record. Lineage: Eukaryota; Metazoa; Arthropoda; Insecta; Hymenoptera; Apidae.